UUUCCGUCUGGUGCCCGCAUCUCAUUUAUUGUUUUCAUUACUAUAUAUAUGAUAAUAUCUUUGGAAAUGUGUUCCUUUCUAUCAAAACAGGCAGACUUUGCAGUGCCUCCGUGUGCGACUACCAUGAGCAGAAGUUUGAGGGACUUUGCUGGGAAAAUGCCGUGCAGUGAGGCAUAGGGGAUUGGAUGUAGCAGGAUGGCCCCCAGUGGAUGGGCACCGAGGGGUGUGGUGCUCCUCCAGCAGCUCUCUCAUGAGGUUUUCUCUGUUCUUUUGGUGGUCCACCUUCCCUGUGGCUGACAUGGUUGCUGUAUGGAGAGUGGAGAGGACAUGGACGUCUCUUUUGUCAUGCCACUUUACUGCCAGCUGUUGACCGUUCUCCUUGAACUCCACCUCCUCUCUCUGCAUCUUCUUGCAUCCGAAUGCCGGAAUCCCAUUCCUGUUCGACCUGACCGUACCACAGGCCCCUGUGCUGUUGGCGAGCAGAUGCUGGAAGAGUGUGGGACUGUGUGUCUCUUGCCGAGAUGAUGAGCCAGCAUGGUCAUCACCGAGGACCCGGACACCCCAAGACCCUCAUAAUAUUGGAUGUCAGUGGUGGACCCUGUGUAGACUAUAAUGUCCUGGACAAAUUAUGUCUUCACGUUGCACAUAACAAAUAAUCAAUAAAUCACUAUCAGAAAAUGAUUCACAUGUUUAAGGUCUGGUG
Molecule: long non-coding RNA, 703 nt
Filed under: Salmo salar (Atlantic salmon)
Lineage: Eukaryota; Metazoa; Chordata; Actinopteri; Salmoniformes; Salmonidae
Description: lncRNA (ENSSSAG00000115019.1)
Source: RNAcentral